AUGCGGGCUCUUUUCUGGAACAUCCGCGGCUUCGGCCAUGAUGGUCGUCGCCGCCAGUUAGUGGAGUACAUGCGGGAUGAGCACAUCGACAUUGUUGCUGUGCAAGAGACCAUGCGUCGCGAUUUCUCGCUUCCUGAGCUUGACCGGCUGAGCUCUCAC
RNAcentral lists this ribosomal RNA (159 nucleotides) under Triticum aestivum (bread wheat). RNAcentral describes it as "partial small subunit ribosomal RNA". The record is from RNAcentral. Lineage: Eukaryota; Viridiplantae; Streptophyta; Magnoliopsida; Poales; Poaceae.